GAUGAACGCUGGCGGCGUGCCUAAUACAUGCAAGUCGAGCGAACGGACGAGAAGCUUGCUUCUCUGAUGUUAGCGGCGGACGGGUGAGUAACACGUGGAUAACCUACCUAUAAGACUGGGAUAACUUCGGGAAACCGGGGCUAAUACCGGAUAAUAUUUUGAACCGCAUGGUUCAAAAGUGAAAGACGGUCUUGCUGUCACUUAUAGAUGGAUCCGCGCUGCAUUAGCUAGUUGGUAAGGUAACGGCUUACCAAGGCAACGAUGCAUAGCCGACCUGAGAGGAUGAUCAGCCACACUGGAACUGAGACACGGUCCAGACUCCUACGGGAGGCAGCAGUAGGGAAUCUUCCACAAUGGGCGAAAGCCUGACGGAGCAACGCCGCGUGAGUGAUGAAGGUCUUCGGAUCGUAAAGCUCUGUUAUUAGGGAAGAACAUAUGUGUAAGUAACUGUGCACAUCUUGACGGUACCUAAUCAGAAAGCCACGGCUAACUACGUG
Molecule: ribosomal RNA, 497 nt
Filed under: uncultured bacterium
Lineage: Bacteria
Description: partial 16S ribosomal RNA
Rfam family: Bacterial small subunit ribosomal RNA
Source: RNAcentral